CCGGUGCGGCGGCGGCCGACCCGAUGCCUUCGCCGGAACGCGAGGCUGCACGUGUGCGCACCGAUGCGCCUACUAGUGGCGGAAGAA
Molecule: non-coding RNA, 87 nt
Filed under: Partenskyella glossopodia
Lineage: Eukaryota; Cercozoa; Chlorarachniophyceae
Source: RNAcentral